This 195-nucleotide ribosomal RNA is filed under the name Bacillus safensis. RNAcentral's name for it is "partial 16S ribosomal RNA". It matches the Rfam family "Bacterial small subunit ribosomal RNA", at positions 1 to 193 of the family's 1533-position model. Lineage: Bacteria; Bacillati; Bacillota; Bacilli; Caryophanales; Bacillaceae. The record is from RNAcentral.
CCUCGGAGAGUUUGAUCCUGGCUCAGGACGAACGCUGGCGGCGUGCCUAAUACAUGCAAGUCGAGCGAACAGAAGGGAGCUUGCUCCCGGAUGUUAGCGGCGGACGGGUGAGUAACACGUGGGUAACCUGCCUGUAAGACUGGGAUAACUCCGGGAAACCGGAGCUAAUACCGGAUAGUUCCUUGAACCGCAUGG